Molecule: ribosomal RNA, 468 nt
Filed under: uncultured bacterium
Lineage: Bacteria
Description: partial 16S ribosomal RNA
Rfam family: Bacterial small subunit ribosomal RNA
Source: RNAcentral
AACGAACGCUGGCGGCGUGCUUAACACAUGCAAGUCGAGCGGACACGCCCUGCUUUUGUGGGGUGCUCGAGUGGAGAACGGGUGAGUAACCCGUGUCUACCCUGCCCUCUCCUUUGGCAUAACUUCAGGCCGCUGGGGCUCAUACCGGGUAGGAGCUCCUGCUGAAUGGUCGGGGUUGGAUAGUUUCGGCGGUUGGGGAUGGACUCGCGGCGUAUCCGCUUGUUGGUGGGGUAGUGGCUUACCAAGGCUUUGCCGGGUAGCCGAGCUGAGCGGGUGACAGGCUACAUUAGGACUGAGAUGCGGCCCAGACUCCUACGGGAGGCAGCGGUGGGGAAGAGUGCACAAUGGGCGGAAGGCUAAUGCAGCAUCGCCGCGUGGGGGAUGACGUCCUGCGGGUAGUAAUCCGCAGCCGCCUCAGAUGAAGAGAGAGUGACGGUAAUAGGUAAAGAAGCACCGGCUAACUACGUG